GUGUCCUCUUCACAGUAGUUUGGAGCUCUUUUUGCCAGGGAUUUGAGGGCUGCUUUUUUAAGUGCCCAUCUGUCUUUGGACCAACUGGAUAUUAACAUUGGCGCGUAUUUUUAAUAUAUUGAUGAUAUUUUUACAAUAUGGCAAAACACAAACCAAGUAGAAGACCUCUGCAAAAUGUUCACACUUCCGAAUUACGGCCUCUCCUUAAAAUUGGACCAAAAAGAUAACCAACGUAUCCACUUCCUAGAACUCCAGUUAGAAGUAAAAAACCAUAAAUUUAUAACAGAUGUCUAUAGAAAACCUGCCUAUGUGCCAAUAUUAAUACCCAGUUGGUCUAAGGACAGAUGGACAUUUAAAAAAGCAGCCUUUAAAUCUUUGGUAAAAAGAGCUCUAACUACUGUGAAGAGGAUGCAACCUUAAAAAGAAAAAUAGGAAACAUUAGAAAGAUAGCAACAAAACACGGCUAUAGAAAGAGCAUGAUAGACAAAAUAAUGGAAGAAAUCAUAGAAAAAAGACAGAGCAAUCAAAAUCAAACGAUGACCGUAAACCCCUCGACCACAGACCUGCGGAAUGAUGCCCAGGAGCAAAAAUAUUUAGUAGUAGAUCUUGCUUUAGCCAGUUAAAAACAGUUAAGCAUAUUUUAAAGAAGGGUAAACGAAGGCCAGCAUAUAAAAGACCCCCAACAAUCUUUGACCACCUAAGAAACGUGAAAGAAAUGUUUUUUGACCACCUAAGAAACGUGUAAGUAUAA
RNAcentral lists this long non-coding RNA (751 nucleotides) under Androctonus crassicauda. The record is from RNAcentral. Lineage: Eukaryota; Metazoa; Arthropoda; Arachnida; Scorpiones; Buthidae.